Molecule: transfer RNA, 74 nt
Filed under: Candidatus Bathyarchaeota archaeon
Lineage: Archaea; Thermoproteati; Candidatus Bathyarchaeota
Also listed under: 1 other name
Description: tRNA-Val
Rfam family: tRNA
About the family: Transfer RNA (tRNA) molecules are approximately 80 nucleotides in length. Their secondary structure includes four short double-helical elements and three loops (D, anti-codon, and T loops).
Source: RNAcentral
GGGCCGGUCGUCUAGUCUGGUAGGAUACUACCCUUACGAGGUAGUGGUCGCAGGUUCAAAUCCUGCCCGGCCCA